This 452-nucleotide ribosomal RNA is filed under the name uncultured bacterium. RNAcentral's name for it is "bacterial SSU rRNA". It matches the Rfam family "Bacterial small subunit ribosomal RNA", at positions 9 to 507 of the family's 1533-position model. The record is from RNAcentral.
AAGUUUGAUCAUGGCUCAGAAUGAACGCUGCGGCAUGCCUAACACAUGCAAGUCGAACGAAGCCUUCGGGCUUAGUGGCGCACGGGUGCGUAACGCGUGGGAAUCUGCCCUUGGGUUCGGAAUAACAGUUAGAAAUGACUGCUAAUACCGAAUGAUGUCGUAAGACCAAAGAUUUAUCGCCCAGGGAUGAGCCCGCGUAGGAUUAGCUAGUUGGUGUGGUAAAGGCGCACCAAGGCGACGAUCCUUAGCUGGUCUGAGAGGAUGAUCAGCCACACUGGGACUGAGACACGGCCCAGACUCCUACGGGAGGCAGCAGUGGGGAAUAUUGGGACAGUGGGCGAAAGCCUGAUCCAGCAAUGCCGCGUGAGUGAUGAAGGCCUUAGGGUUGUAAAGCUCUUUUACCCGGGAUGAUAAUGACAGUACCGGGAGAAUAAGCUCCGGCUAACUCCGUG